This 2190-nucleotide long non-coding RNA is filed under the name Anolis carolinensis (green anole). Its description in RNAcentral is "lncRNA (ENSACAG00000037747.1)". The record is from RNAcentral. Lineage: Eukaryota; Metazoa; Chordata; Lepidosauria; Squamata; Anolidae.
AUGACUUUAAAGUACUGGCCACCAAAUGCGGUGAUCAACCCCAAGCUCACCGCACCAAGUGGUUUCCUCAACGCUUUCGACGCUUCCCGCCUCCUUCUUACCGCCAGCAAUCCUUCAGGCGUCCCUCGGUAUCGAACAACAACAACCGUCAACAGCCCCGUCGGGCUGCCCAACCGCAAAGACAGCGCGGCCGGGCCACCCCCACCGCUGCUCAACCUCCCCGGCGCUCCUGACGCCAUCCCCUUUUCCGAAGACUCUUCUUACGGUACCGAUGCAGCUCUCAUUCCUCAGCUCCUCUCUUCUCCGAAUCAACCUCCUGGUCUCUUUCUAGAUCGCUUGGCUCCCUUCUUUCACCGGUGGAAAUCUAUUACUUCAGAUGCCUGGGUUCUCAAAAUUGUCCAAGAAGGCUAUGCCUUAGAGUUCGAGGAACUCCCGCCCACGGGUCAGGUCUUUCUCUCCAACCCUUCUCAAGAAAUUCUCGCAGAGGUCGACGCCCUUCUCGCCAAAGGGGCUAUUCGGCCUUCUCCAUCGGUACAGGACCCUCAAGGCUACUUCUCCAGGUACUUUACGGUCCCGAAGAGGGGUGGGGGCCUCCGCCCAAUUUUGGACUUACGCAUGCUCAAUGCCUUCAUACGUCCAACCAAGUUCAGGAUGGUCUCCAUCGCCUCCAUCCUCCCGAUGCUGCAGCGCGGAGACUUCUUCGUAUCUAUAGACCUUCGAGACGCCUAUUUCCACGUGGCGAUUCGGGAGAACCACAGGCGCUUCCUCUCUUUCAAAGUUCUCGACCAGACCUACCAGUUCACCGUUUUACCCUUUGGCCUCGUUACGGCCCCAAGGGUCUUUACCAAAGUCGUCGCUGUCGUGGCGGCCCACCUCCGACUCCAGGGAAUCACAGUCUUCCCUUAUCUAGACGACUGGCUUCUGGUCGAAUCCGACCCUGCCCUCCUCCGACGUCACGUCGACUACACUCUCUCUCUUCUAAAAUCCCUCGGUCUCCAGCUAAACCACGAAAAAUCUCACCUCACCCCGUCGAACAAAAUCCGCUUCAUCGGCGCUCUGUUCGACUCAAUCGCUCAGACUGUCUCUCUUCCGCUAGACAGGUUUCUGGCCCUUCGACAACAAAUCACCUUUUGCGAGACCCACCGGAGGGUCCGGGCUCGGUCCAUCCAGGUUCUCCUCGGCCACAUGGCCUCCACAGUCCUCACGACCCCGUUCGCCAGGCUCCAUCUCCGGACUUUGCAGAGGUGGUUCAUAGACGUUUUCAAGCCGUUUCGCCACCCCAAUUCGAGGUUUCUUUCGGUCCCGUCCCACGUUCGGCGGUCGCUUCUCUGGUGGAAAUCCCUCUCCAACGUCUGCAGGGGUCUCCCGUUCCACCCGGUUCCCCCCGCCACCACCAUAACCACAGACUCUUCCAAUUUCGGCUGGGGAGCCCACAUGAAAGGUCUCACUGUUCGAGGCCUCUGGUCUCCCUCCGAGAAGGCCAAUCACAUAAACUUCCUCGAACUCCUUGCCAUCUUCAAGGCUCUGAAAGCCUUCUCCCGCCUGAUCUCCCAAAGAUCGGUCCUCAUCCAAUCAGACAACACAGUAGCAGUCUUCUACAUCAACAAACAGGGCGGCACGGGCUCAAGGAAGCUGAUGCUUCUCUCCUCCCAGCUGUGGUAUUGGUGCAUAGCCCGCAACAUUCUGAUCUCGGCGAUUCACCUUCCCGGGAUCCAGAACAACUUGGCAGACGCCCUCAGCAGGAUGACGACUUCCUCCCACGAGUGGAUGCUCGAUCCCGAGACUCUUCUUUCUCUUUUUCUCAAAUGGGGUUUUCCCACUCUGGACCUUUUCGCCUCUCCUCAGAACGCUCAACUGCCUCGGUACGGUGCGAGACUUCCCCCAUCCUCCUCUCCGGGCUGCCUGGGAGACGCCUUCCUUCUAGACUGGUCGGCGGAACCGAUCUAUCUCUUUCCGCCUUUUCCUCUCAUACCGAGGGUCCUGCAAAAACUCCGGUCGGUACCGAUGUCGGCGAUCCUGAUAGCUCCAGCCUGGCCCCGUCAAUCUUGGUUCCCGGCUCUUCUUCGCCUCUCCAAUGCGACCUUCUUCACUCUGCCCCUUCUACCUCAUCUCUUGUCCAGGGAGAACGGCCAGAUCCUGCACCCGGAUCUCUCCUCUCUACAUCUCACUGCUUGGAGGAUUCUCGCCUGA